Molecule: unclassified non-coding RNA, 378 nt
Filed under: plant metagenome
Description: partial contains 5.8S ribosomal RNA, internal transcribed spacer 2, and large subunit ribosomal RNA
Rfam family: 5.8S ribosomal RNA (bases 1-105)
Source: RNAcentral
GAAAUGCGAUAAGUAAUGUGAAUUGCAGAAUUCAGUGAAUCAUCGAAUCUUUGAACGCACCUUGCGCUCCUUGGUAUUCCUUGGAGCAUGCCUGUUUGAGUAUCAUGAAAUCUUCAAAGUAAAUCUUUUGUUAACUCAAUUGGUUUCUACUUUGGUAUUGGAGGUCUUUGCAGCUUCACACCUGCUCCUCUUUGUUCAUUAGCUGGAUCUCAGUGUUAUGCUUGGUUCCACUCGGCGUGAUAAGUUAUCUAUCGCUGAGGACACUGUAAAAGGUGGCCAAGGUAAAUGCAGAUGAAACGAUGCUAAUAGUCCAUUGACUUGGACAAUACUUUUAUGAUCUGAUCUCGAAUCAGGUAGGACUACCCGCUGAACUUAAGC